GAUGUACAAUUUUCAACUAAAAUCAACCAAAGUCCAAGACGUCCUUGUAAUACACUGACUUAGAAUGAUCCACUCAUUAUAUAAAUCGGACCAUUUUAUAUAAAAAUAACUCAAAUCUUACCCCCUCCUCCUCCCGAAAGUGCACACAUAACUUUAUAACAGGGGUUUUUUCUCUAACCUCGUUCGGAUGGCAAAAUGUACAACCUUCUUUCCAUCAGCUCCUGGUUUUACGAUUUCAUGAAAAAGCGGCACACAGACUACAGAGGCUACAGCAGACAGCACCAUACUCGUGCUCAAGCUCUGCUUACACCACGAGCCUUUCAUGCUAUAUCAAAUAGCACCAGACCACCACUCUUGCCCAUGGUUAAGGCAAGAUCAAGCCAAGUACCUAAACAAGUGGGGGUUGUCUUUGUCUCUCUCUAAAUAGUCCCGAGUGAUCAGAUCUUCGAUUCUCUUCUUUAUCGCUUUGAAGUCGGGCUUGAACAUACGACCCAAUUGCUCGACGCACUCCAUCACUAGCUGCUGAUGACCCAGAACUUUCCGACUCUUCAUGAUACGCACGAUUGAGGCAUCAAUAGCAUACCUUCGAUCCUUGUCAACAUCUUCAAUGACUUUCUUUUUCUCAUCCACAGGCGGAAGAGGGAUCUUUAUUCUCCUCAUUUUGUCGGAGAAUUUUGCAUUGAACUCAAAAUGAUCAUUCGGAGAGAUGGUUUUCGUGUUCGGCUCCUUAUUAAGAAUUUUAUACUUGGCACAUGACAAUGAGUGGAGCAGUCUAACAACAUCAUCGUCACUCAAAUUUAAUUGUGUCAUGAUCUCGGAAUAACUUAAUCUAUCUGAGGAAUUGAAUAGCAGCAGGGCAGAAGCCUGAUAAGUUGUUACAAUCAGCUCCAUCGUUUUCGGUUCAAAUUUUCCGCUGAUGUUACAGGUACCCAAUGAGUAAAUCCAUGUAAGUUUUCUAUGCUUUGUUUUUGUUUGAUAGAAC
This 982-nucleotide unclassified non-coding RNA is filed under the name Hevea brasiliensis (rubber tree). Lineage: Eukaryota; Viridiplantae; Streptophyta; Magnoliopsida; Malpighiales; Euphorbiaceae. The record is from RNAcentral.